CCCUGGUUAUCUCAAUUGGUAGAGCGCUCCACCUGUAAUGGAGAGCUCCCGGGUUCGAUACCCGGACCAGGCG
RNAcentral lists this transfer RNA (73 nucleotides) under Ixodes scapularis (black-legged tick). Its description in RNAcentral is "tRNA-Thr for anticodon UGU". It matches the Rfam family "tRNA". Rfam says of the family: Transfer RNA (tRNA) molecules are approximately 80 nucleotides in length. The record is from RNAcentral. Lineage: Eukaryota; Metazoa; Arthropoda; Arachnida; Ixodida; Ixodidae.